UGGGGAAUAUUGCACAAUGGGGGAAACCCUGAUGCAGCGACGCCGCGUGGAGGAAGAAGGUCUUCGGAUUGUAAACUCCUGUUGUUGGGGAAGAUAAUGACGGUACCCAACAAGGAAGUGACGGCUAACUACGUGCCAGCAGCCGCGGUAAAACGUAGGUCACAAGCGUUGUCCGGAAUUACUGGGUGUAAAGGGAGCGCAGGCGGGAAGACAAGUUGGAAGUGAAAUCUAUGGGCUCAACCCAUAAACUGCUUUCAAAACUGUUUUUCUUGAGUAGUGCAGAGGUAGGCGGAAUUCCCGGUGUAGCGGUGGAAUGCGUAGAUAUCGGGAGGAACACCAGUGGCGAAGGCGGCCUACUGGGCACCAACUGACGCUGAGGCUCGAAAGUGUGGGUAGCAAACAGGAUUAGAUACCCUGGUAGUCCACACCGUAAACGAUGAUUACUAGGUGUUGGAGGAUUGACCCCUUCAGUGCCGCAGUUAACACAAUAAGUAAUCCACCUGGGGAGUACGACCGCAAGGUUGAAACUCAAAGGAAUUGACGGGGGCCCGCACAAGCAGUGGAGUAUGUGGUUUAAUUCGACGCAACGCGAAGAACCUUACCAAGUCUUGACAUCCCUUGACAGACAUAGAAAUAUGUAAUCUCUUCGGAGCAAGGAGACAGGUGGUGCAUGGUUGUCGUCAGCUCGUGUCGUGAGAUGUUGGGUUAAGUCCCGCAACGAGCGCAACCCUUAUGGUCAGUUACUGCGCAAGAGGACUCUGGCCAGACUGCCGUUGACAAAACGGAGGAAGGUGGGGAUGACGUCAAAUCAUCAUGCCCUUUAUGACUUGGGCUACACACGUACUACAAUGGCGUUAAACAAAGAGAAGCAAGACCGCGAGGUGGAGCAAAACUCAGAAACAACGUCCCAGUUCGGACUGCAGGCUGCAACUCGCCUGCACGAAGUCGGAAUUGCUAGUAAUCGUGGAUCAGCAUGCCACGGUGAAUACGUUCCC
RNAcentral lists this ribosomal RNA (995 nucleotides) under uncultured organism. RNAcentral describes it as "bacterial SSU rRNA". It matches the Rfam family "Bacterial small subunit ribosomal RNA", at positions 355 to 1375 of the family's 1533-position model. The record is from RNAcentral.